UUCUCUCUCCAGUCUUCAAGCUUCCUUCUCUUCCAACAUCUCUGCAACUUCCUUAUCUCCUCAACAUGUUUUCUCUAUUACAUCUUCAUUUUCGCGUUCAUCAUCAUUAAUAAAUAAAUAAACAACAAAAUCUAAAGGAAAAAAAAAAGUCUAUUUCAAUUUUAUGACUAAUUUUUUGCGUCAUACUAAGCAACCCGAGGGACAAGACGAGAACGAGAUGCAGAAGAGAUUGCAGACUCGGUUCCAUCUUCACUACAUUUUUCCUCUUCUUCGAGAUGUAGACUCGG
This 287-nucleotide long non-coding RNA is filed under the name Trifolium pratense (red clover). RNAcentral's name for it is "long non-coding RNA (TPRA_LNC004886)". The record is from RNAcentral. Lineage: Eukaryota; Viridiplantae; Streptophyta; Magnoliopsida; Fabales; Fabaceae.